RNAcentral lists this ribosomal RNA (313 nucleotides) under uncultured bacterium. RNAcentral's name for it is "bacterial SSU rRNA". It matches the Rfam family "Bacterial small subunit ribosomal RNA", at positions 28 to 339 of the family's 1533-position model. The record is from RNAcentral.
GAUGAACGCUAGCGGCAGGCUUAACACAUGCAAGUCGAGGGGCAGCAAGGGUAGCAAUACCUGUUGGCGACCGGCAAACGGGUGCGGAACACGUACAGAAUCUACCUUGAUCUGGGGCAUAGCCCGGAGAAAUCCGGAUUAACUCCCCAUAAUAUGAUUGAGUGGCAUCACUUGAUUAUUAAAAUUUAUUGGAUCGAGAUGACUGUGCGUCCCAUUAGCUAGUUGGUAGGGUAACGGCCUACCAAGGCGACGAUGGGUAGCUGGUGUGAGAGCACGACCAGCCACACGGGCACUGAGACACGGGCCCGACUCC